Molecule: long non-coding RNA, 4259 nt
Filed under: Capsicum annuum
Lineage: Eukaryota; Viridiplantae; Streptophyta; Magnoliopsida; Solanales; Solanaceae
Description: long non-coding RNA (CANN_LNC006991)
Source: RNAcentral
AAAACCCUCAGAACGAAAGCAGCUAAUUGACUUACCCUUUUUCAGACAAACAAACCAAACGCCUCAAUCGAUUUACCCUUAGAACAAACAGCAAAUAGUUAAUGAUACACUUUAUUACAACGAACAACCAACAAUCUUGACAAAUUUGUUAGUGAGGUAAUAGAUUAGAGUCACAUUGCAAGAGAAUAAGGCAACGACUUCCAAUCUUCCAAUCUGUUUUUGAGUCUCAUAGUGAAAUUUUUAUAUGUUUUGAGCUCUCAAUUUGUUAGUGAAAUUCCAAAAACAUUCAAUUUUGUGGAUUAUUAUGAUUUAUCUCUCAAUCUAUUAGUAUUGUUUAAUUUGUUGUUUCAUAGCUAACCCACUUAAUAUAUUGGGGUGUUCUUUAAAUUAGGGAUUUCUUCAAUUUGGGGAUUUUAAGGUUAGUCUAUUCUUCUCAAUUUCAACCUAAUUUUUUAUCUUGAUUUUAAUUUGGGUAGUCUCUUUAUUUUAUUUUAGCUGUACUGUGUGUAGAUUGACAUCUUCUUCAUUAUGACCUUCUUAUAGGAUCAAAUUAUAUUGCUUAAGUAGUCUCUCUGUUUUAUUUUAGCUGUUGGAGAUAGAUGGUCAGCUUCUACCUAGAUUUGUAAUGUUUCAACUUUAUUAAUAAGAGAAAUUUGUUUAAUAAACAAAAUAUUUUGUCUUAGCUUGCUUGCCUUUCUUGUAUGAGUUAGUGUUAGAGCUGGUUUUUACUUUAAGACAAUUCAUAUCAUUUGCUGAAUGCAGAAAAUAAUAGAUGUGGUUCUUUCGGUUUCAGCUUCUUGGUUUCUUUUUCCAUCCCAUGAAAUACAAAUUUAAUCAUUAAAUAUAUAAGAGAGUUUCAUGUAAAGUUCUCAUAGUUAGUAUGUUGUUUUGUGUGUUCUUUAUGAAGUAACCAUAUGAUAAAACUAUACUAAUUAUAGUAUAGCAGAAUUUGGGAGAUUGUAGAGACGAAAUUAUGUUGUUAAUAUGUUGUUUUGUGUGUUCUAAAGAUAUACAUGAAGGUGGAAAAAAGAAAGACUUCACCUGCUAUUUUGAAAAGCUUUUCUAGUGUAUCAGGUAGUAUUAUAAGCUUCCCAUUUUUCUCCUAUAAUGAAUUAAUGUUCUAUUUCAUGUGAAUGGUAACCCUCUUCUUGAUGGAUUUUUUCCCGAUUGCACUAGUUUGACUUGUAUUGCCUGAAUAUGUAGAAUAGGAGACCUCAUUUCUUGAAGGCUUGAAUUGACUACUCUUUUUUUCUUUAUCUAAUCUAAUGAAAUUGCCCUCUUGCUAAUUUAAUUCACUCUUAUUUACAUAAUUUGAUAGGUACUCAUGCAUGCUUUUGUUUCAUCGACGAUUUUCUCUAGCUAUUCCUAUCCACCCUUUUGAUUCAAAUUAGUCUUUUUUCCAUCUUCUUUCUAGUGGGCUCAGAGCUAUUUCAAUACACCUCUUGGAAACUGCAAAAUAAUCAAGAACCGUUUGGACUUUAUGUACCUAUCAUUCACCUUUAUUUUCUGCUUGUACCUUAGCUCUAGCUUCUAAAUUUUGGAUAUUUAUACUAAUUAGGUCGCUAGGCAAAGAAACUAAGCUUUCAUUCUCGAAUGAUAAAUUUUGCAUAUAAUCUUCAACCGGAAAGUGAAACUAAGCUAGAACAGUCGUAGUACUAUAGAUAAAAUAGCAGCAAAUAACUCCAACAUAAAGGAAAACUAGCAAAGGCCAGUUAGAAUGCAUACAUCAAAUACCUCCCCUCGUUGAGGUGCUCUUCUAUGAUUUUCUGAUUAUUAGCAUGAUGAUCAUCAGAAACUCACCUAUAGCUUCAACCAAUCAUAGAACCAUUUUUCUUGUGUGAAUUUCGUUCACACAGCUCGUCCAAAAAAUCUUGUAAGUGUCAAUAAUGUAGACACAGACCUACAAAAAGGGGAUUAAACUGUAUAAACAACUGACAGAGCCAGUAAAAGAGGCAUUACCUCUUAACUGAUGAUGACAUGUAUUAGAAGGAAGAAAAAUAUGCAGAUUAGUCAAGGAUUAAAUAUGUGAAGAAAAAUUAAUGUUUUACGCCUUCAAACAACAGAUAAUGAUCAACUGUUAUUGUAGAGGUUAAGAUAGAGCUGCCCCCCAGAUGGACGAUGACCAGUUCAUUGCUUCUAUAACUUCAACCUCACAAAUGCCUCCUUUAUGACACUCUGAACCUCACCAAUCUUCUUAUUAAAAGAAUGCUGAGUCCAAGUCAGAUUAUGAUGUGUAUAGGACACAAAAACCUAACCCAUCUAAGGGUAUCUAGAACUUCCAACAAUCCAAACACCAUUUAGUAACAAUUUAUUCGCACUUUGGAAUAGGGAAGAUUUAUCCAGUACCUGAUCUUCAGGCAUCAAACCAGGCCAUCCAAUACACACGUUAGUAAAUCCCCCCUUAAUUCAACCACACCUUAGACUGUAAUUGAAUAAGAUGUUUUCUGGUUCCUCUCGAUAUGCCACUUUAAAAAUCAGCAGAAACACUAAUUUUAGGAGCAAUUAUAGGUAUAUGAGUUGUAUACAUUGAUCCCGCAACAUUGGGGAUCCCUGAAAUAGCCUCAUACUCAUCCUUUACAUUUUGCAUUUUCUCUUUAUCAGGCCAUUGGAGAUACUUGGGCAUCAACACAGUCUUAAUCGCAGUACAAACUUCAAGCACGUGUUUAUGGAAAUCGAAAUCCCCAAUCCAAACCACUUUGAGACCAAUCUAAGAGGUUCUCCAGAAGCCCAUCUCCAAAAACAAACAGCUACACAUUAUUUCACUGGUACAUCAUAUCGUAGCAUCGUAUUCUCUUUGGCAAACACAAAACUCAAUUCAUUACAUAUCAGUUCAAAUGUAUCUUUUCCCAUUUGAAAAGCUUUCUUGAACUCCUCUUCAGGGAAAUUAGCACUGUUACAUUGAUCCCACCAAGCUUUUGAUCUAUUCUUCACCCACAAUCGUAUUUAGGGAGCACCCUUUUCACUGGCUUUAUUACUCAAAAUGAUUUCUUCCUGUGCUGCAGCAGCAGAAUGGCACAAGAAGCAGUAGAAGUAGAAGUUCAAUUCCCUUGGACUUUCUAUUUACGAACACUAUCUAGCUGUUGUAAAUUGGAAUGAUGUUUUUGAAUGUUUGAAUAAUAAUCCCACAUCAUUUUAGUUGUUUUCUUGUGAUUUGCGUCCAAUAAGAGUUUAUUCUCUGCUUUUUCCUUUGCAAAUUCCUCUUGUUUUGAUUUUUCUUAUUUUUCAAGUAACAACAAUGAGGUCAUUAUCUCUUUUAGUUCCUUGGUUUUUACAGCACCUUGAUUUUCCACCCCAAUUCAUUAUUUUCGUCGAUGCUAGUGUUGUACUGAUUACUUGGGGUUUCUUGAACGACUUCUUUGUUGAUGUUACUUCAUAUAUGGCCAAAAGGGGAUGCAAGUAAACUUCAGAAAUGGAUUAGGGACAAACAACUUACUUAGAUAUUAUAUUUUCUAUUAAAAAAAGUGUAUGACAAAAAAGGAAUUAUUGUUUUCCCUUUUUUAGGAUGCGUUGGUGAUUGGUCAGUGCAAUAGGAUCCGUAUAUUGAUGAGGUUUUGACUGUUUUGGUAUGUUCUAGGAAUUUACUACGUCUGCUACUUUGAUAUUUUUAUCCAACUAAGAGUGCUCUGUAGUUUAUCUAGUUCUUUGAUGUUUUGCUGCUGCUCUGAUUAUCUACUGCAGUUUUUCUCCAGUAGUGCUCCUUAAAGCAUAGUAGCCUUAACAGAUUGUUGUCUAUAGCUUGAUAUAUAAAUUUGAUUGUGACAUUUUCAAUUAUCAAUGUUCACUUUACGGGCAUUGAAUUAAGUUGGUUACAAGGAACUCUACCAUUGGAACAUACAGAACAGUGAAGGAAGUCUUAAAUUCACAAGUCUUGUUCUACUGCAAUAUGUCACCAAUGUUUUUUGUCAUUUACAGACUUCUUUAAUAGAAUUGAGUGUUCACAAACAUCCCAUGAUCAUAUCCACGAAACUGUCUAUACCUGAAAAGAUCAUGUGAACAGUCAUUCUGCAGAAUCUUCAAGUGUCAGUUCAAGUACAGGGGGUCAGGUUGAAAGUUGUUGACCUUUUAGUUCUACAGCUUCUCUAGCUGAAUAAGUUUACUUGUCUUUAUUUUGGUUAAUUAUUUUCUAGAAAUUGUUAUUCAUCAUUGAAGAUUAGCAGAGUGCGGUUGGUGAUUUUGUACUUUUACUGCAAGGACAAGAACGUUGUACUAGUUGCAUAUUUUGGAUUUAAAUUACUAGCUUUUGGGUUUAAGUUACUAGC